GACGAAUGCUGGCGGCGUGCUUAACACAUGCAAGUCGAACGGGAAGGCCCUGCUUUGGUGGGGUGAUCGGGUGGCGAACGGGUGAGUAACACGAAAGUAACCUGCGCUGGACUUUAAGAUAACUUCAGGAAACUGGGGAUAAUACAGGAUAGGAGCUCCUGCUGCAUGGUGGGGGUUGGAAAGGCUCGGCGGUGGGGGAUGGUCUCGCGGCUUAUCAGCUUGUUGGUGGGGUAGUGGCUUACCAAGGCGUUGACGGGUAGCCGGCCUGCGGGGGUGACCGGCCGCCUUGCGACUGCGGUGCGGCCCCGCAUCCUCCGGCGGGCAGCAGUGGGGAGGAUUGCACAAUGAGCGGCGGCCGGAUGAAGGAGCGCCGCGUGCGGGAUGAAGGCCUUCGGGGUGUAGUCCGCUUUUGUCUGUGACGAAGCGUGAGUGACGGUAAUUGGUAAAGAAGCACCGGCUAACUACGUG
Molecule: ribosomal RNA, 468 nt
Filed under: uncultured bacterium
Lineage: Bacteria
Description: partial 16S ribosomal RNA
Rfam family: Bacterial small subunit ribosomal RNA
Source: RNAcentral